This 175-nucleotide unclassified non-coding RNA is filed under the name uncultured Chaetothyriales. RNAcentral describes it as "sequence contains ITS1". Lineage: Eukaryota; Fungi; Ascomycota; Eurotiomycetes; Chaetothyriales. The record is from RNAcentral.
UCGAGUCAGGGUCUUUUAGGCCCGAAACUCUCAACCCUUUGUUUAACUACCACGUUGCUUUGACGGACCCGUCUUUGCGGACCGCGGGAGGUUGGUCUUCUCGCCAGUGCCCGUCAGUAGCCCUUUUAAAUUCGUUACAAAAUUUGUCGUCUAAGUAUCAAAAACAAUCGUUAAA